GACGAACGCUGGCGGCGUGCUUAACACAUGCAAGUGGAGCGACGAACCAGGGCUUGCCCUGGGGCAGAGCCGCGAACGGGUGAGUAACACGUGGGUAACGUGCCCCGAUGACUGGGACAACCCGGGGAAACCCGGGCUAAUACCGGAUGUGCCCCCUCACAUCAGUGAGGUGUGUAAAGGAAGCUUCGGCCUCCGCAUCGGGAUCGGCCCGCGGCCCAUUAGCUUGUUGGUGAGGUAACGGCCCACCAAGGCUGCGAUGGGUAGCUGGUCUGAGAGGACGAUCAGCGCCACUGGGACUGAGACACGGCCCAGACUCCUACGGGAGGCAGCAGUGGGGAAUCUUGCGCAGUGCGCGAAAGCGUGACGCAGCAACGCCGCGUGGGGGAAGACGGCCUUCGGGUUGUAAACCCCUUUCAGUUGGGACGAAGGUCGGGCGGUUAACAGCCGUUCCGGCUGACGGUACCUGCACAAGAAGCCCCGGCUAACUACGUG
RNAcentral lists this ribosomal RNA (492 nucleotides) under uncultured bacterium. RNAcentral's name for it is "partial 16S ribosomal RNA". It matches the Rfam family "Bacterial small subunit ribosomal RNA", at positions 28 to 507 of the family's 1533-position model. The record is from RNAcentral.